RNAcentral lists this unclassified non-coding RNA (294 nucleotides) under Basidiomycota sp. RNAcentral's name for it is "partial contains small subunit ribosomal RNA, internal transcribed spacer 1, and 5.8S ribosomal RNA". The stretch from base 1 to 47 matches the Rfam family "Eukaryotic small subunit ribosomal RNA", at positions 1785 to 1831 of the family's 1831-position model. The record is from RNAcentral. Lineage: Eukaryota; Fungi; Basidiomycota.
AAAGUCGUAACAAGGUUUCCGUAGGUGAACCUGCGGAAGGAUCAUUACUGAAGUGAUUUGGGGAUGUUGCUGGCCUCUUCUCAGGGGCAAAUGUGCACUCCCUGAACAAUUCACAAUUUCCAUCACACCCUUGUGCACAUCUUGUAGGCACCCUCCCCCUCUCCAAGGGUUGGGUUUGUCCUAUGUAUUCUUUCAUCUCACACUUUUUGAAUGGUGCUCUUGAAUGCAUCUUAUGGAUUAUUUGUAAAAAAGUAAUCACAGAAACAACUUUCAACAAUGGAUCUCUUGGCUCUC